GCCUCCUGCUUUGUUCUUUAUGCUUAGGAUCAUCUUGGCUAUUUGGGCUCAGUUUUGCUUGUAUAUAAGUUUUAAAAUAGUUAUUUCUAGUUCUGUGUAGAAUGUCAUUGGUAUUUUGAUAGGAAUAGCACUGAACCUGUAAAUUGCUUUGGGCAGUAUAGCCAUUUUAAAUAUAUUGAUUCUUCCUAUCUGUAAGCAAGGAUGUAUUUCCACUUAUUUAUGUCAUCUCUGAUUUUGUUGAGCAGUGAUUUGUAAUUAUCAUUGUUGAGAUCUUUCGCCUCCCAGGUUAACUCUAUUCGUAACUUACUUUUUUUUACGGCAAUUGUGAAUGGAAUUGUGUUCCUGAUUUGGCUCUCAGCUUGGCUGUCAUUAGUGUAUAGGAAUAUGAGUGCUUUUUCUUUUGACAUUGAUUUUGUAUCCUGAAACUCUGCUGAAGUUUUUAAUCAGCUGAAGGAGCUUUUGGGCUGAGACUAUGGGGUUUUCUAGAUACAGAAUUAUGUCAUAAGCAAACAGGGAUAGUUUGACUGUCUCCCUUCCUAUUUGGAAGCCCAUUAUUUCUUUCUUUUGCCUGGUUGCUCUGGUCAUUACUGCCAAUACAAUGUUGAAUAGGAGUGGUGAGAGAAGACAUCCUUGUCUUGUGCCAGUUUUCAAGGAGUUGGAUACUAUUAUGAUGCCUACUUCCAGAUGACAAAACUAAGACUCAGAGAAUGCAUAUAUCUUUGGGCAAGGAUAGUAUGGGAUGAAGCCAGAUUCCUGACCAGGUUUAUUGAAAUAUAAUUGACAAAAAUUGCUACAAAGGAAAUUAAAUACCUA
This 813-nucleotide long non-coding RNA is filed under the name Callithrix jacchus (white-tufted-ear marmoset). RNAcentral's name for it is "lncRNA (ENSCJAG00000086554.1)". Lineage: Eukaryota; Metazoa; Chordata; Mammalia; Primates; Cebidae. The record is from RNAcentral.